CCCAGGAGAGCCAUCAGCUACUUCAGAGUGUGCAUAAGUGGACCGGUGUCUUUAUGUUAAGACACUUUAAUAUUUAGAUGGUUUGUUACAGCAGGCCUACGCUGCAUCCUGCUUAAUUUGGUCACUGACAUCACAUCGGUCCCUAACCAUUCUGAGGAGAGCGAUAUGAGAACCUGGGAGUAAGGAUGCUCGUGUGCCCUAGGGGACACCCUGACAUAGGCACGGAGCAGCACCUGGGACUGGCUGCAUGAUGUUUCUGAGAAGAUAAUCAGCUCCCGCCAGGGGACAGAUAUGAACAGUGAGCGCUGUGCAUCUGAGAAGCAGCCCUGACUCUCAUGGCCACAAAGAUGUUGGAAGGAGCAACGGAGGAAGUCAAACAAAGAAGCGAUAGGAGCCAGUUACAUCCAUGCAUGGAAAGUUCAUGGGUGAUGUGGAGAUGUAUGGGCAGCUCCUCAGAAAUGACACAUUGGCCUAAUCAGAUAGCUGCCACAUGACCGAGAGGACCUGGCUGAUUCUGGGAGUGAGUAUGAAUAGGUGACCCUAGAGUGGAGGUCAAAGCAGGCCAGAGGCACCUGUUCAGAAGGCCAAGCUGUCCCAGGACCUCGCACCCCACCCCCUCCUCCAGUCAGCUCUUAGCCGGUCACCUUUGCUCCACUCUCAGAAGGGAACAUUCACCUUGGUUGUGAUGCCUCCUCUCACUCCACGGCUCCACCUCGAGUACAUGAGCCUCUCGGAAAGUACAAAGGGUUACUGUGUGGGCGGGCCGAUGCCCACGAGCAGAAACUCAACCAAGACUGUGAGCCUUGCAGUUGGCCCUUUCAUGGCCGUGAGCUCGGUCAUUGUUUAGUUUAGAAGUUGUCACUUGGUUUUGAGCAAAACUCAAUACCUGGAUGUUCAAGUUGCGCUGGAAUAAGCAGCAAAUAAGCCGGUGGCAGAGACAGAGCCUUGGCAGAGCAGUGGAGGGAACAGGCCUUGGGCCAUGCUGCCGAGCAGCCACGAGACCUCAGGAGCGUACGAUUGCACUGGGUACCCAGAUGUUCUCUUCUCACCAACGAGGAGGUUGUAACAGUCUACAUCUGAAGACACCCGGGUUCCCGAGCCUCUUGACCUCUGACAUCACAACUCUCACAAGCAUCCUUGGCCUUUGGUAUCCUUACCCCUUAAUGUGCGUAGCGUUUUCCAGAAGCACAGCUUUGCAAGGACUGACUCCAGAGGCAAGUGUGAGACCGACCCAUCCAUCGCUAGUCACAAAGGCAGAAUCAGACCGUUUAUAGAAAUGUCGAACAAUGGCGUCCCUCAGCUAACCUUCCUGUUUCAGGAAAUGCUGCUUUCCAUUUUUUAAAAGUGCCACUUGUAGAAACAAGCCUUCCUACUUUAAAAUAAAUGUUCUAAGCACU
Mus musculus (house mouse) is the source of this 1397-nucleotide long non-coding RNA. RefSeq annotates it as predicted gene, 31901. The transcript is spliced from 5 exons. The record is from RefSeq and is a predicted model, not a curated record. Lineage: Eukaryota; Metazoa; Chordata; Mammalia; Rodentia; Muridae.